GUCCUUUUGAGUCUUAUAAAAGGUCUGACCUGCCCAGUGAUAAUUUUAACGGCCGCGGUAUACUGACCGUGCAAAGGUAGCAUAAUCAUUAGUCUUUUAAUAGAGGGCUGGAAUGAAAGGUUUAACGAGGAACUGACUGUCUCAUUUUAUUUGUUUUAAAAUUUAAUCUUUUAGUCAAAAAGCUAAAAUUUUAUUGGAAGACGAGAAGACCCUAUAGAUCUUUAUAGUAAGUUAUUUAUUUGUUUUUAUAUUAAUUUAUUUAAUUGGCUUUCUAUUUUGUUGGGGUGACAAAAAUAUAUAAGAAACUCUUUUAUUUAUUUAACAUUAAUUUAUGAUUAUUAGAUCCAUUAUUAGUGAUUGUUAGAUUAAGUUACCUUAGGGAUAACAGCGUAAUCCUCCUCCAGAGUUCAUAUUUACAGGAAGGGCUUGCGACCUCGAUGUUGGAUUAAGAUAAUAAUUAGGUGUAGCCGCUUAAUUUAUAGGUCUGUUCGACCUUUAAAAUCUU
RNAcentral lists this ribosomal RNA (505 nucleotides) under Tramea lacerata. RNAcentral's name for it is "partial 16S rRNA". It matches the Rfam family "Bacterial large subunit ribosomal RNA", at positions 1819 to 2597 of the family's 2925-position model. Lineage: Eukaryota; Metazoa; Arthropoda; Insecta; Odonata; Libellulidae. The record is from RNAcentral.